UUGCCUCGUCAUCAAAAACACACACGCACCGACACAUGGUCCCGGGUGCCGCGACGGCUUGGCCGAACGGUCGGAUCCAUGGGGUGUGUGGAGGCCUAAC
Molecule: small RNA, 100 nt
Filed under: Salinicola sp. MIT1003
Lineage: Bacteria; Pseudomonadati; Pseudomonadota; Gammaproteobacteria; Oceanospirillales; Halomonadaceae
Description: t44 RNA
Rfam family: t44 RNA
About the family: This family consists of a number of bacterial RNA genes of between 135 and 170 bases in length.
Source: Rfam by way of RNAcentral